CCUACGGGAGACAGCAGUGGGGAAUAUUGCACAAUGGGCGAAAGCCUGAUGCAGCGACGCCGCGUGAGUGAUGAAGGAUUUCGGUAUGUAAAGCUCUAUCAUCAGGGAAGAAAAUGACGGUACCUGACUAAGAAGCCACGGCUAACUACGUGCCAGCAGCCGCGGUAAUACGUAGGGGGCAAGCGUUAUCCGGAUUUACUGGGAGUAAAGGGAGCGUAGGUGGCAUAACAAGUCAGAAGUGAAAGCCCGGGGCUCAACCGCGGGGCUGCAUUUGAAACUGUUAAGCUUGAGUGCAGGAGAGGAAAGCGGAAUUCCUAGUGUAGCGGUGAAAUGCGUAGAGAUUAGGAGGAACACCAGUGGCGAAGGCGGUUUACUGGACUGUAACUGACGCUGAGGCUCGAAAGCGUGGGGAGCAAACAGGAUUAGAUACCCUAGUAGUC
This 440-nucleotide ribosomal RNA is filed under the name uncultured bacterium. RNAcentral's name for it is "partial 16S ribosomal RNA". It matches the Rfam family "Bacterial small subunit ribosomal RNA", at positions 338 to 795 of the family's 1533-position model. The record is from RNAcentral.